This 388-nucleotide long non-coding RNA is filed under the name Amborella trichopoda. RNAcentral's name for it is "long non-coding RNA (ATRI_LNC001209)". Lineage: Eukaryota; Viridiplantae; Streptophyta; Magnoliopsida; Amborellales; Amborellaceae. The record is from RNAcentral.
AAAACUGUGACCUUUGUUGCCAUGGGUUUUGGCUGACCAAAUGGGGUCCUAUUGGUCCCAAGCCUUAGUUGUAUUUCUAAGUGUGCUUGAAGUUGCAUGAGAAAGUAUUUCAGAAUUCCUACUAGAUUGAAAGUUAUGCUUCGAUUUGUGCAUACAUGUCACUGUUGACAGGACUUAGCAGAAUUGAGAAUUGAUCUAUGUUGUCAUGAGGUUCUGACUGACCAAUUGAGAUCCAAAUGCUUCCAAAUUGGUUUGUUGGAUGGAUGGGUGUUCCUACUUGAAAUUUUCUUUUGAAAUCAUCCCAGGAUUCCUCAUGAAUUGGGAGUUAUGCCUUUGAUAAGUGGGACAUGUCGCUGUAGUAGAAUAUAGGAUUUUCAACACCAAUGUU